RNA transcript from Triticum aestivum (bread wheat), 1819 nucleotides. RefSeq lists it as uncharacterized. The transcript is spliced from 6 exons. Lineage: Eukaryota; Viridiplantae; Streptophyta; Magnoliopsida; Poales; Poaceae. The record is from RefSeq and is a predicted model, not a curated record.
UCUCCUACGCACCCACAGCUGCCACCCUCUCCCUCCCUCAGAUCUCGAUCCGACCUAGAUCGACGCUGCCACCCCUCUCUAACCCUAGCUUCCCGUCGCUGGUGGCAGCGCCCUCCCUCACUCGCCCUCUCCUCCUUCCCUCCUCACGGUCGCCUCCACCAUGCCACAAACCCCGGCGACGGCCUCGUGUAGAUCCCACCCUGCUCCGCAUCACCGCUCUCCCGGCCAUCUCUCCGUUUCCCCAUAGCCACACCUCAUCCUCCUCCCCCUCCCCCGGUUCCGUCCCCAGCCCCGCCCGGAUCCACCGUGCUUGUCCAGAAUCGCCGCCCCCACCCCGCCGUCGAUCUCGCCCAUGGCUGCCGCCACCACCCCGCCGUCAUCCUCGCCCACGACGGCCGCCCCCACCCCACCGUCGUCCUCGCCCAUGGCGGCCGCACCACCCCGCCAUCGACCUCGCCCCCGGCCAACGGCCUCCUCCAUAUCCUUCUGACCCCAAGGCUGAGGUUGUUCCCGUCUAUCUCCCCUGUGUGGGCAUGUACAUCAUCGGCAAGCGUGAGGAGGGGUUGUCGUAGUUGCUUCUUCGCCUUCCCCCAUCUCACGUCCCCAUUGCCUUGCCACGUCUCUCACCUUGCCCCUCUCCAUGAUGCAUUGCAGAACUAUUUCUGGAGGCCCUCGGCGCCGCAUUAGAUGUCGGAUGGUCUCGACCGGAUCCUGCUGCCCAACAAGGAGUUGGAGGAAAAGAGGAAGGAGAAGGACAAGAUCUCCUACGACAUGAGAAAGCAACUAGCGAAGCUCCGCGUCAAGGCUGAGAAGGCAGCCGAAAGAAGUUAGGAUCUCACCUGGAGAUCCUGGCCCCUAUCAAAUACUAAAGCUAUCGUGCGCCAUCAGUUUUGGGAAACCUCUGUCGUAUUUUAAGUAGUUUGGUAACUCUGAUAGUACAAUCUGGUUGGUGAACCUUUGUUAUGCAUGCAGUUCUGCGACACUCAUUUGAAAUUUUCUACAUGGCGAACUGUUUCAUUUAUCAAAUGUGUGCAUUUGGAAAUUCUAGUGGACGUCGUUUUUCUCUUUGCUAUGGCCUUUGCAGUCCCUUGUUAUGACCUAUCGUGGGAAAUUUUUAAGCGUGUUUUCCCUUUGUACAUGUCGUUUUGGGCCAUCAUAGUUGUCUCUACACCAAGUUGGUAAAGUCUACUUUCACUGCGGCAAGUUCCAUUUGAGCUCUGUAUGUUUAAUGUACAUCGCAUGUGUGUGUUUGAUGUUGAUGUCGCUUGUGGUUUUGCAGGGUUCUGAGGCUGCAGCCUGGGCACAGGUACUGCCUCCUCGGCCAGCUCUCCAAGGAGGUUGGAUGGAACUACGCUCAAACCAUCAGAUCUGUAGAAGCUGCCGCUGCCGUUGCCGCUGUUGCAGGUGGAACAAGAAGAAGCCCUCAUGGCUGCUGCACAUCUGAAGUGGCGAGCGCCACCCCAUUUUUUUGGUACUAUGAAGUGUUAGUUGGGCUGCGACUUGAUGGUCAUGCUGCUGUUUUGCUCUGCUUGAUAAUUCCAAUCAGAUCAUUGUCCACACUAUCAUCAUCAGAAGAUCUAAUGUUGUUGAGGAUGCUGGUGCUACGACAGAAGAUCAAGGAAGCCUCGAGAUGUGCACCAUAGUUUUAGUUGAUGUUGCUAGUUUGCCACCAUGUUUUGAAUAUUUGAUGUUGUUGAUGUUGCUACUUUGCCACCGUGUAUAUGCUGUUGGACAUGCAAACAUGUAUGUGAUGUUGUGAAUAUUUGAGCGAAUGAUUCUGUAUUUAAUAAUUUAAUAGAGAAUUAUUUAUUUAUUUUUC